AUUGAACGCUGGCGGCAUGCCUUACACAUGCAAGUCGAACGGCAGCACGGGGCAACCUGGUGGCGAGUGGCGAACGGGUGAGUAAUGCAUCGGAACGUGCCAUUGAGUGGGGGAUAACGUAGCGAAAGUUGCGCUAAUACCGCAUAUUCUGUGAGCAGGAAAGCAGGGGACCGCAAGGCCUUGCGCUCUUUGAGCGGCCGAUGUCAGAUUAGCUAGUUGGUGAGGUAACGGCUUACCAAGGCGACGAUCUGUAGCGGGUCUGAGAGGAUGAUCCGCCACACUGGGACUGAGACACGGCCCAGACUCCUACGGGAGGCAGCAGUGGGGAAUUUUGGACAAUGGGCGCAAGCCUGAUCCAGCCAUGCCGCGUGAGUGAAGAAGGCCUUCGGGUUGUAAAGCUCUUUCAGGUGGAAGAAACGACAUGGGUCAAUACCCUGUGUGGAUGACGGUACCAUCAGAAGAAG
Molecule: ribosomal RNA, 464 nt
Filed under: uncultured bacterium
Lineage: Bacteria
Description: bacterial SSU rRNA
Rfam family: Bacterial small subunit ribosomal RNA
Source: RNAcentral